AACUGACUUUCAGAAACUUAACCUAGUACCAAGCUCCCCGCGGUGUCUCGGGCCACCCAGCGGGUGAAGAAGCAUCCCUUCAAACACGAAAUUCUUCGGGUGUAAAGUAUGGGAAGUAUCUGUCUGUAAGGGAAAUUCUCCACCCAGUACCCCACCCGAAGCCACUGUGGAGUUUAUGAUGCAGAAACUCUAAGGCUAGAGUGGAUCUGUAGUGUCUACACUCCAGACAAUGCCCACAAAAUACCUAUGCUUGUGUGAAUAAAAAUUCCUGAAAAGAAUCUGUGUUACCUAAGAACAACUGAACUUCAGUACUAUGGAGUGGCUGGAAUCCUGGUCCGGAGGCUAAUUACCUUAUCAUAUGGUAGCUUUAGCUACUCACAGUAGCUAUUCCUUACCAAUUCUGCCAGAACUAGCAUCCUGGGAAUACGAGAUAAAACGAUUUGGUAUCUGUUAACUUAAGAGACUACCAGAAGCUAAGAAUGUUAUUAGAUAGCAUCUUGGCCGUCUAAGCAAGACUUCCCUCAUCUGGCUGCAAUUGUCUCUCUGCUGUACCCACCAAUGUAUUUAUUUUAAACGUAUCUUGACCUAUGACUUUCUUUGUUCUAUGAAAUUAUAAAAAUAUAUGAAAUUGUUUCCAUGUGAGAUGACUGAAUUUUAGUAACCUAUAGAUGAGUUUCCAAGUCACGGCCAUUCAAACAAUGACUCCAGAAUAAACUGUCAUAUUCCCUUUAA
This is a long non-coding RNA of Mesocricetus auratus (golden hamster), 732 nucleotides long. RefSeq lists it as uncharacterized. Lineage: Eukaryota; Metazoa; Chordata; Mammalia; Rodentia; Cricetidae. The transcript has 2 exons. The record is from RefSeq and is a predicted model, not a curated record.